CUACGGGAGGCUCCAGUGAGGAAUAUUGCACAAUGGAGGAAACUCUGAUGCAGCAACGCCGCGUGGAGGAUGACGCAUUUCGGUGUGUAAACUCCUUUUAUGAGUCGAGAAAAUGACGGUAGCUCAUGAAUAAGCACCGGCUAACUCCGUGCCAGCAGCCGCGGUAAUACGGAGGGUGCAAGCGUUACUCGGAAUCACUGGGCGUAAAGGACGCGUAGGCGGGAUAUCAAGUCAGGUGCGAAAUCCUACAGCUUAACUGUAGAACUGCACUUGAAACUGGUAACCUAGAGUAUGGGAGGGGGAGAUGGAAUUAGUGGUGUAGGGGUAAAAUCCGUAGAUAUCACUAGGAAUACCUAAAGCGAAGGCGAUCUCCUGGAACAUAACUGACGCUAAGGCGUGAAAGCGUGGGGAGCAAACAGGAUUAGAUACCCGCGUAGUC
RNAcentral lists this ribosomal RNA (439 nucleotides) under uncultured bacterium. RNAcentral describes it as "partial 16S ribosomal RNA". It matches the Rfam family "Bacterial small subunit ribosomal RNA", at positions 339 to 795 of the family's 1533-position model. The record is from RNAcentral.